GCAGACACAUUCCAGCCAAUCAGCAGCAGACCCUCCCUCCCAGACCCUCCCACCUCCUGGACAGCAUCCAUUUUACAUUCAUUGUGAAGCUGCAUUCUUAGUGAGCUGUCUAGGAGGUGGGAGGGUCUGGGAGGGAGGGUCUGCUGCUGAUUGGCUGGAAUGUGUCUG
This 168-nucleotide microRNA precursor is filed under the name Pelobates cultripes (western spadefoot toad). The record is from RNAcentral. Lineage: Eukaryota; Metazoa; Chordata; Amphibia; Anura; Pelobatidae.